This 530-nucleotide ribosomal RNA is filed under the name uncultured bacterium. RNAcentral's name for it is "bacterial SSU rRNA". It matches the Rfam family "Bacterial small subunit ribosomal RNA", at positions 777 to 1307 of the family's 1533-position model. The record is from RNAcentral.
AAUAGAUACCCGGGUAGUCCACGCCGUAAACGAUGAGUGCUAGGUGUUAGGGGUUUCCACCCCUUAGUGCUGCAGCUAACGCAUUAAGCACUCCGCCUGGGGAGUACGGUCGCAAGACUGAAACUCAAAGGAAUUGACGGGGGCCCGCACAAGCGGUGGAGCAUGUGGUUUAAUUCGAAGCAACGCGAAGAACCUUACCAGGUCUUGACAUCCCGCUGACCGCCAUGGAGACAUGGCUUUCCCUUCGGGGACAGCGGUGACAGGUGGUGCAUGGUUGUCGUCAGCUCGUGUCGUGAGAUGUUGGGUUAAGUCCCGCAACGAGCGCAACCCUUGUCCUUAGUUGCCAUCAUUCAGUUGGGCACUCUAAGGAGACUGCCGUACAAAUACGGAGGAAGGUGGGGAUGACGUCAAAUCAUCAUGCCCCUUAUGACCUGGGCUACACACGUGCUACAAUGGGCAGUACAAAGGGCUGCGAACCCGCGAGGGGGAGCGAAUCCCAAAAAGCUGCUCUCAGUUCGGAUUGCAGGCUG